UCUCAGAGAAUUUGGAAUCAUUUGAAUAUGAACGUUGAUGCUGUCAUGUGGCUUUUCAGACAAUAUCUUUCAAGACACUUUAUUGUUCAGAAAUGUGUCACAAGUCCAAGAAAGAAACAGAAAACUGAUCCAAUGACAGGUUUGUGUGUUUGAGCUGAAAGCUGCAGAAUAAAGUGACGUGUGGUUUAGGUGUUGGUAACAAGCAGUGAUAUGAGAGGACGCACAGAGAGGGAGGAGCAACACUGUCAAAGAGCAGAGCAGAAAAGACCUCCUGCUGUGCUGCAUUCAAUAUCUACAGCAGACCUCAGAUAGUGUCUGUAAGAUGUUCCCUCUGCGUCACGCUGGAGUCUGGCCUUUGUUUCUCUUCAUCCUGAAAGGUGUCAGCUGUGAUGAACUGACUCCAGACCAGACUGCAGAGUUCAGUGUAGAAGGCAGCACUGUUACUCUGUCCUACAAGUUCUCUAGGACAAUGACUGGUAAUGAUUAUUUCAUCUGGUAUCGACAGAAUCCAGGACAAGCUCCAGAGUUCCUCAUCUCACACUCUGCUUCAGGACAAAUACUAGCUGCUCCAACCUCUGGACUGAAGAUUAAAGUGGAGCAGAACCAAAUCCACAUGAUCAUCUCCUCUGCUGCAGUGACAGACUCUGCUGUGUACUACUGUGCUGUGAAGCCCACAGUGACAGGAAACUACACAACUCUGUACAAAAACCUGUGGAGCAAACACACAACUCCUCAUCCUCCACUAGAGGGAGUCACUCACUGUUAAACCUCAGUGGUUUGUGAUGACGUUUGUUUCACAAUAAAACAAAUUCUAACAA
This is a non-coding RNA of Pleuronectes platessa (European plaice), 818 nucleotides long. NCBI's taxonomy places the organism in Eukaryota, Metazoa, Chordata, Actinopteri, Pleuronectiformes, Pleuronectidae. The record is from the annotation of a RefSeq genome assembly.